AGACUGAAAAUCCUCUUGUGUUGUCCCUGUGUUAUUAUACAGAAUAUAACCACAGUGAAUGGUUACACACAAACACUUCCUGUCUGUUCUGUCUAUCUGUCCCCUGUUCCCUGUGUUUUCUUUCAUUCAGAAGUCAGCAGCACUGAGUCUGUCUCCCAUACUGUUUAUGUGUUUCUUGCAGGUGAUGCAGGAGUCCCAGGUCCCCCAGGAGUCCCCGGAGCAUCUGCUGGUAGCUCAUAUGGUCCUGCUCCCCCAGGCCCUCAAGGGCCACCUGGACAGCCUGGUCCACCUGGAAGAGAUGGAAGUGGGUCUGGAUCAACCGAUGUGGGCCAGUAUAUUGCAGAAUACCUUCAGAGUGACAGCAUCAGGCAGUACUUGGCUGGACCUCCUGGGCCCCCUGGUCCUCAAGGGGCUCCAAGUGCUUCAGGGUCUGCAGGGGACGUGCCGGUCGAUGAUUUGGCCAACCGAGUAAUAGCUUACAUCCAAAGUACAGGUAGAGGAUAUGAUGGGACUCAUAGCCCACCUGGUCCUCCAGGACCUCCAGGUUCACCUGGCUUUCCAGGUUCACCUGGCUCCAUCUCCGUCAAUGACAUCAUCAAUCUAUUGCAACGAGAGGACGUGAGGAGAUAUGUUUCUGGUCCUCCUGGUCCACCAGGACCUCCUGGAGCUACAGACCAGGGCAGCUACAGAAUCAACACCCAGGAGGUGGCUGAUCGUGUCCUAAGCCUCAUGAAUGAGAGGGGGUUGGUAGGUGCUCCUGGACCACAAGGACCUCCUGGAGCUCCUGGUCUUCCUGGAAACUCGUUAUCAACUGGGUAUCAAGUACAAGUGGGCCCUCAAGGGCCUCCUGGUCCCCCAGGUAUCCCUGGUCCACAAGGUCCACAAGGUCCACCUGGCACACCUAGCCCACAUGGAUAUGGGACCUACCUCACUUCAGAUAUCCGUGACUACCUUCAAAGUGUCUCCUUGAGGGGACCACCAGGCCCCCCUGGUCCCCAGGGACCUGAAGGCCCCCCCGGUCAAAUAAACGGGUUGGUUUCCUAUGCUGAGCAUGCCAACAGACAGGCGCUCAGAGCAGAACUGCAAGAAUAUAUCAAGAGUGAGUUUAAAAGAAUACUUCAGCAGACAUAAUUGGAUAAAAUUUCAAAAUGUGUAUUGAAAGUGUGUGAUUUUUAACUCAGCCAGAGUUGCGAUAAUUCCUUGUCCUAGACUAGUGUAAGGGUAUGAGUAGGGUAUAACAACUGCAUGAAAAGUUUUGGGCAAAUUAUAAUGGAAUACGAGGUGAGCCUGCACAACCAUCACUGUUAUGUUCAAUAAGCACUGUGCAUAUGUGCAAUAUGUAAGAACUUCUCAAAUAUAUUUUGCAAAUAGGGGGCAGCACAUGGUAACCGCAAACUGCUGCUAACUGUAGCUGUUGAUAGCUCGAUAGCUCAACUAGCCAUGCAGCUAGCAAUGCAGAAUGGGAGUUUGGAGUGGUUUUAUGAGAACGGACUCACUGGGGCUAGCUUGUUAGCUGGCUAACCUCAUUAGACAUUUCUGCAAUAGAAGACAGUCGAUGUCUUUGACACAAGGUCAAAACUGACAUUUCUUCAGAUUCUGUUGAUAGAUUAAGUUAUUGUGAAAGUUUUGAAUUUGAAUUCUUACAAAAAUGCACCUUUAAUUAAGGCACAUUUUUGACAUCGACCUUUACCAGAGUUCCCAAAAUAGGCAUACUCCUUAAUGAUAAGGGAUUCAAUAUUCCAUAUAUACAUAUAUUAUGAUAUUAUGAUAUGAGGUAUUAGAUUUUAGCCUAGCUAAUGUUAAUUUUAAAAUUUGCUGUGUGAA
This is a long non-coding RNA of Sparus aurata (gilthead seabream), 1824 nucleotides long. NCBI's taxonomy places the organism in Eukaryota, Metazoa, Chordata, Actinopteri, Spariformes, Sparidae. The record is from Ensembl.